Molecule: ribosomal RNA, 468 nt
Filed under: uncultured bacterium
Lineage: Bacteria
Description: partial 16S ribosomal RNA
Rfam family: Bacterial small subunit ribosomal RNA
Source: RNAcentral
GACGAACGCUGGCGGCGUGCUUAACACAUGCAAGUCGAACGGCAACGCCCUGCAUUUGUGCGGUGCUCGAGUGGCGAACGGGUGAUUAACCCGUGAGUACCCUGCCCUUGGCUUUGGGAUAACUUCAGUUACCUUGGUCUCAUACCCGUUCUGCGCUCCUGCUUCAUGGUGGUUGUUGGAUCGUUUUUGCGGUUCGGGAUGGACUUGCGGCUUAUCAGCUUGUUGGUGGGGUAGUGGCUUACCAAGGCCUUUACGGGUAGUCGGCCUGAGAGGGUGAACGGCCACAUUGGGACUGAGAGACGGACCAGACGCCUACGGGAGGCAGCAGGGGGGAAUAUGGCACAAUGGGCGGAAGCCUGAGGCAGCAACGCCGCGGGUGGGAUGACGGUCUGCGGGUUGUAAAACGCCUGAGCAUGUGACGAAGCGUGAGUGACGGUAAUGGGUAAAGAAGCACCGGCUAACUACGUG